RNAcentral lists this ribosomal RNA (393 nucleotides) under uncultured nitrite-oxidizing bacterium. RNAcentral's name for it is "bacterial SSU rRNA". It matches the Rfam family "Bacterial small subunit ribosomal RNA", at positions 521 to 916 of the family's 1533-position model. The record is from RNAcentral.
UAAUACGAAGGUGGCAAGCGUUGUUCGGAUUCACUGGGCGUACAGGGAGCGUAGGCGGUUGGGUAAGCCCUCCGUGAAAUCUCCGGGCCUAACCCGGAAAGUGCAGAGGGGACUGCUCAGCUAGAGGAUGGGAGAGGAGCGCGGAAUUCCCGGUGUAGCGGUGAAAUGCGUAGAGAUCGGGAGGAAGGCCGGUGGCGAAGGCGGCGCUCUGGAACAUUUCUGACGCUGAGGCUCGAAAGCGUGGGGAGCAAACAGGAUUAGAUACCCUGGUAGUCCACGCCUUAAACUAUGGAUACUAAGUGUCGGCGGUUUACCGCCGGUGCCGCAGCUAACGCAAUAAGUAUCCCGCCUGGGAAGUACGGCCGCAAGGUUGAAACUUAAAGGAAUUGACGG